AUCGCUUCAUGGCCUUUUUGCUAAGAUCUAGUGCAGUAUCUGUUCUUAUUAGUUUAAGUUUAAAAAAAAACAUGGAGGCAUCCAUGCACAGUCAACCUUUAGAAAAAAUAUUUCCUGAUACUAAAGUAUUGGGAGAACUACCUCUUAAUUUUUAUAAAUUUGGGUCAAAAUCCAU
This 175-nucleotide small nuclear RNA is filed under the name Macaca fascicularis (crab-eating macaque). Its description in RNAcentral is "U2 spliceosomal RNA (ENSMFAG00000063115.1)". It matches the Rfam family "U2 spliceosomal RNA". From Rfam's summary of the family: U2 is a small nuclear RNA (snRNA) component of the spliceosome (involved in pre-mRNA splicing). Complementary binding between U2 snRNA (in an area lying towards the 5' end but 3' to hairpin I) and the branchpoint sequence (BPS) of the intron results the bulging out of an unpaired adenosine, on the BPS, which initiates a nucleophilic attack at the intronic 5' splice site, thus starting the first of two transesterification reactions that mediate splicing. Lineage: Eukaryota; Metazoa; Chordata; Mammalia; Primates; Cercopithecidae. The record is from RNAcentral.